This 445-nucleotide ribosomal RNA is filed under the name uncultured bacterium. RNAcentral describes it as "partial 16S ribosomal RNA". It matches the Rfam family "Bacterial small subunit ribosomal RNA", at positions 354 to 796 of the family's 1533-position model. The record is from RNAcentral.
GUGAGGAAUAUUGGUCAAUGGGCGAGAGCCUGAACCAGCCAAGUCGCGUGAAGGAAGAAGGAUCUAUGGUUCGUAAACUUCUUUUGCAGGGGAAUAAAGUGCGGGACGUGUCCUGUUUUGUAUGUACCCUGAGAAUAAGGAUCGGCUAACUCCGUGCCAGCAGCCGCGGUAAUACGGAGGAUCCGAGCGUUAUCCGGAUUUAUUGGGUUUAAAGGGUGCGUAGGUGGUUUGAUAAGUCAGCGGUGAAAGUUUGCAGCUUAACUGUAAAAAUGCCGUUGAAACUGUCGGACUUGAGUGUAAAUGAGGUAGGCGGAAUGCGUGGUGUAGCGGUGAAAUGCAUAGAUAUCACGCAGAACUCCGAUUGCGAAGGCAGCUUACUAAGCUACAACUGACACUGAAGCACGAAAGCGUGGGGAUCAAACAGGAUUAGAUACCCUGGUAGUCC